AUUGAACGCUGGCGGCAUGCUUUACACAUGCAAGUCGAACGGUAACAGGUUAAGCUGACGAGUGGCGAACGGGUGAGUAAUGCAUCGGAACGUGCCCGAUCGUGGGGGAUAACGCAGCGAAAGCUGCGCUAAUACCGCAUACGAUCUGAGGGAGAAAGGGGGGGAUCGCAAGACCUCUCGCGAUUGGAGCGGCCGAUAUCGGAUUAGCUAGUUGGUGAGGUAAAGGCUCACCAAGGCGACGAUCCGUAGCGGGUCUGAGAGGACGACCCGCCACACUAGAACUGAGACACGGUCCAGACUCCUACGGGAGGCAGCAGUGGGGAAUUUUGGACAAUGGGGGCAACCCUGAUCCAGCCAUUCCGCGUGAGUGAAGAAGGCCUUCGGGUUGUAAAGCUCUUUCGGCAGGAACGAAACGGUUUCCCCUAAUACGGGGGGCUAAUGACGGUACCUGAAGAAGAAGCACCGGCUAACUACGUGCCAGCCGCCGCGGUAA
This 493-nucleotide ribosomal RNA is filed under the name uncultured bacterium. RNAcentral's name for it is "partial 16S ribosomal RNA". It matches the Rfam family "Bacterial small subunit ribosomal RNA", at positions 29 to 523 of the family's 1533-position model. The record is from RNAcentral.